Molecule: ribosomal RNA, 775 nt
Filed under: uncultured Neocallimastigales
Lineage: Eukaryota; Fungi; Neocallimastigomycota; Neocallimastigomycetes; Neocallimastigales
Description: partial large subunit ribosomal RNA
Rfam family: Eukaryotic large subunit ribosomal RNA
Source: RNAcentral
CGCAUCUGUGCAUGCAGCAUAUCAAUAAGCGGAGGAAAAGGAAACUAACAAGGAUUCCCCUAGUAACGGCGAGUGAAGCGGGAAGAGCUCAAAUUUGAAAUCUUAAAGGGUUUCCCUUUACGAAUUGUAGUUUAAAGAAGUGUUUUCUGUUGAGGUUUUGGUAAAAGUUCUUUGGAAUAGGACAUCAUAGAGGGUGAGAAUCCCGUAUUUGACCUUUACUUUCAACUUUGUGAUACACUUUCAAAGAGUCGGAUUGUUUGGGAAUGCAGUCCAAAAUGGGUGGUAAAUUUCAUCUAAAGCUAAAUAUUGGCGAGAGACCGAUAGCGAACAAGUACCGUGAGGGAAAGAUGAAAAGAACUUUGAAAAGAGAGUUAGACAGUACGUGAAAUUGUCAAAAGGGAAGCGUUUGACACCAGUGUUGUUUUUCUGAAAAUCAAUUAAAGAACUGUUUAUGCUAAGUUGUUUAGACUUUAUCAGCUAACUGUUUAGUUUUGAGCUUUUCUUUAAUGCACUUUUCAGUUAACAAGUCAACAUCAAUUUCUUUUGCUGUAAAAAAGCUUGAGGAAGGUGGCUUGAGAUUCGUCUUAAGUGUUUAUAGCCUCUUGCCUAUGCAGUCGGAGAGAUUGAGGUCUGCAGCGUAGAUCCUUCGGGGCUAAAUGCAUUUGUGCUAAGUUAUAGCCUUUCAUAGACAACUUGUUGACUAUGAUCAGUCAUGUAGCUUACUCGCUUAUGUCAUUUUACCUACGCUUAGGAUGUUGAACGCGCACAGAGUCUC